Long non-coding RNA from Acanthopagrus latus (yellowfin seabream), 401 nucleotides. RefSeq lists it as uncharacterized. The record is from RefSeq and is a predicted model, not a curated record. The transcript has 2 exons. Lineage: Eukaryota; Metazoa; Chordata; Actinopteri; Spariformes; Sparidae.
GCAAAUCGAGCCCGGAGGAACCAGUGGCCCGUGAAAAACCAAACCAUCCAAGUCGGAAAUUACACAUUGAUGCACAGCUGGAGACUCCGCCGCCUCCCCCCCUCCUUGUUUCUCAUCAUGUAUGAACGGUGCAGGAGCCGUGCAACGCUCCCAUCCAGCCUGUCAGCAGGAUGUCAUUAAAAGCCCCUCCAUCUCUCCUCCGGCUGCUCGCUCUUUUUGCUUUUCUUUUUUUUUUUUUUUUUAUCCCCCUCCCCCCCAAACAGAAAUUCCUGCGUUCCUCUGCACGCUGCUCCUCUUUGGAGUCCUUCUGUCCAUCUCUAUUUCUGACAUGGGAGAAUCCGAAGUGUCAGUCUGUCUGGGCGCGGAGGUGAUGGGUGAGGAGAUGUGGCGGAGGAGACGGU